RNAcentral lists this ribosomal RNA (253 nucleotides) under uncultured bacterium. Its description in RNAcentral is "partial 16S ribosomal RNA". It matches the Rfam family "Bacterial small subunit ribosomal RNA", at positions 524 to 776 of the family's 1533-position model. The record is from RNAcentral.
UACGUAGGGGGCUAGCGUUGUCCGGAAUCAUUGGGCGUAAAGCGCGUGUAGGCGGCCCGGUAAGUCCGCUGUGAAAGUCGGGGGCUCAACCCUCGGAUGCCGGUGGAUACUGUCGGGCUAGAGUACGGAAGAGGCGAGUGGAAUUCCUGGUGUAGCGGUGAAAUGCGCAGAUAUCAGGAGGAACACCUGUGGUGUAGGCAGCUUACUGGACCACUUCUGACGCUGGGACACGAAAGCGUGGGUAGCAAACAGG